RNAcentral lists this ribosomal RNA (777 nucleotides) under uncultured Neocallimastigales. RNAcentral's name for it is "partial large subunit ribosomal RNA". It matches the Rfam family "Eukaryotic large subunit ribosomal RNA", at positions 22 to 646 of the family's 3401-position model. Lineage: Eukaryota; Fungi; Neocallimastigomycota; Neocallimastigomycetes; Neocallimastigales. The record is from RNAcentral.
CAUAGCGACUAUCGUGGCAUAUCAAUAAGCGGAGGAAAAGAAACUAACAAGGAUUCCCUUAGUAACGGCGAGUGAAGCGGGAAGAGCUCAAAUUUGAAAUCUUCAAGGUUCUACCUUGACGAAUUGUAGUUUAUAGAAGUGUUUUCUGUUAGUAGAGUGGCAAAAGUUCUUUGGAAUAGGACAUCAUAGAGGGUGAGAAUCCCGUAUUUGGUCAUUCCUUCCUAGCGUUGUGAUACACUUUCAACGAGUCGGAUUGUUUGGGAAUGCAGUCCAAAAUGGGUGGUAAAUUUCAUCUAAAGCUAAAUAUUGGCGAGAGACCGAUAGCGAACAAGUACCGUGAGGGAAAGAUGAAAAGAACUUUGAAAAGAGAGUUAAACAGUACGUGAAAUUGUCAAAAGGGAAGCGUUUGACACCAGUGUUGUUUAGUUGAAAAUCAAUUCAAUAAUUUUUGAUUUUAAGUAGUAUUGACUUCAUCAGCUUGCUGCUUUCUUUUCGGAAAUUAUUGAAUGCACUUUUCAGUUAACAAGUCAACAUCAAUUUCUUUUGUUGUAAAAGGGUAAGAGGAAGGUGGCUUACGCUUCGGCGUAAGUGUUUAUAGCCUUUUACCUCUGCAAUCGGAGAGAUUGAGGACAGCAGCGUAGACUCCUUCGGGGGUUAGAUACACUUGUGCUAAGCUAUAGCCUUGUAUAGACAACUUGUUGACUAUGCUCAGUCAUGUAGCUUACUCGCUUGUGCUAUUUUACCUACGCUUAGGAUGUUGACGAGACUGUCGAUCUC